This 434-nucleotide ribosomal RNA is filed under the name uncultured Pseudobutyrivibrio sp. RNAcentral describes it as "partial 16S ribosomal RNA". It matches the Rfam family "Bacterial small subunit ribosomal RNA", at positions 341 to 792 of the family's 1533-position model. Lineage: Bacteria; Bacillati; Bacillota; Clostridia; Lachnospirales; Lachnospiraceae. The record is from RNAcentral.
AUGGAAGGCAGCAGUGGGGAAUAUUGCACAAUGGGCGAAAGCCUGAUGCAGCGACGCCGCGUGAGCGAAGAAGUAUUUCGGUAUGUAAAGCUCUAUCAGCAGGGAAGAUAAUGACGGUACCUGACUAAGAAGCACCGGCUAAAUACGUGCCAGCAGCCGCGGUAAUACGUAUGGUGCAAGCGUUAUCCGGAUUUACUGGGUGUAAAGGGAGCGUAGGCGGUUUUACAAGUCUGAUGUGAAAGCCCGGGGCUCAACUCCGGUAUUGCAUUGGAAACUGUAGAACUAGAGUGUCGGAGGGGUAAGUGGAAUUCCUAGUGUAGCGGUGAAAUGCGUAGAUAUUAGGAGGAACACCAGUGGCGAAGGCGGCUUACUGGACGAUUACUGACGCUGAGGCUCGAAAGCGUGGGGAGCAAACAGGAUUAGAUACCCUGGUA